This 947-nucleotide ribosomal RNA is filed under the name Lepiota sp. RNAcentral's name for it is "partial large subunit ribosomal RNA". It matches the Rfam family "Eukaryotic large subunit ribosomal RNA", at positions 22 to 959 of the family's 3401-position model. The record is from RNAcentral. Lineage: Eukaryota; Fungi; Basidiomycota; Agaricomycetes; Agaricales; Agaricaceae.
UACCCGCUGAACUUAAGCAUAUCAAUAAGCGGAGGAAAAGAAACUAACAAGGAUUCCCCUAGUAACUGCGAGUGAAGCGGGAAAAGCUCAAAUUUAAAAUCUGGCAGUCCUUGGCUGUCCGAGUUGUAAUCUAGAGAAGUGUUACCCGUGCUGGACCGUGUACAAGUCUCCUGGGAUGGAGCGUCAUAGAGGGUGAGAAUCCCGUCUCUGACACGGACUACCAGGGCUUUGUGGUAUGCUCUCAAAGAGUCGAGUUGUUUGGGAAUGCAGCUCAAAAUGGGUGGUAAAUUCCAUCUAAAGCUAAAUAUUGGCGAGAGACCGAUAGCGAACAAGUACCGUGAGGGAAAGAUGAAAAGCACUUUGGAAAGAGAGUUAAACAGUACGUGAAAUUGCUGAAAGGGAAACGCUUGAAGUCAGUCGCAUUGACCAGGAAUCAGCCUUGCUCUUGCAUGGUGUACUUUCUGGUUGAUGGGUCAGCAUCAAUUUUGACUGCUGGAAAAAGGCUUGGGGAAUGUGACAGCUUUGGCUGUGUUAUAGACCCUUGUCAUAUACAGCAGUUGGGAUUGAGGAACUCAGCAUGCCGCAAGGCCGGGUUUCGACCACGUUCAUGCUUAGGAUGCUGGCAUAAUGGCUUUAAGCGACCCGUCUUGAAACACGGACCAAGGAGUCUAACAUGCCUGCGAGUGUUUGGGUGGAAAACCCAAGCGCGUAAUGAAAGUGAAAGUUGAGAUCCCUGUCGUGGGGAGCAUCGACGCCCGGACCAGAACUUUUGGGACGGAUCUGCGGUAGAGCAUGUAUGUUGGGACCCGAAAGAUGGUGAACUAUGCCUGAAUAGGGUGAAGCCAGAGGAAACUCUGGUGGAGGCUCGUAGCGAUUCUGACGUGCAAAUCGAUCGUCAAAUUUGGGUAUAGGGGCGAAAGACUAAUCGAACCCAUUUUCGGGGGGCC